RNAcentral lists this ribosomal RNA (200 nucleotides) under uncultured bacterium. RNAcentral's name for it is "partial 16S ribosomal RNA". It matches the Rfam family "Bacterial small subunit ribosomal RNA", at positions 524 to 723 of the family's 1533-position model. The record is from RNAcentral.
UACGGAGGAUGCAGGCGUUAUCCGGAUUUAUUAGGUUUAAAGGGUGCGUAGGCGGCCCAUUAAGUCAGUGGUGAAAGUUUGCAGCUUAACUGUAAAAUUGCCAUUGAUACUGGUGGGCUUGAGUCUGGUAGAGGUAGGCGGAAUGUGUAGUGUAGCGGUGAAAUGCUUAGAUAUUACACAGAACACCGAUUGCGAAGGCA